UAGGGAAUCUUCCACAAUGGGCGAAAGCCUGAUGGAGCAACGCCGCGUGUGUGAUGAAGGGUUUCGGCUCGUAAAACACUGUUGUAAGAGAAGAAUGACAUUGAGAGUAACUGUUCAAUGUGUGACGGUAUCUUACCAAAAAGGAACGGCUAAAUACGUGCCAGCAGCCGCGGUAAUA
Molecule: ribosomal RNA, 178 nt
Filed under: uncultured bacterium
Lineage: Bacteria
Description: partial 16S ribosomal RNA
Rfam family: Bacterial small subunit ribosomal RNA
Source: RNAcentral